GACAGAGGGUGCAAACGUUGUUCGGAAUUACUGGGCGUAAAGCGCGCGCAGGCGGCCAUUCAAGUCAGGGGUGAAAGCCCAGAGCUCAACUCUGGAACUGCCCUUGAAACUGUAUGGCUUGAGUAUGAGAGAGGUGAGUGGAAUUCCCAGUGUAGAGGUGAAAUUCGAUAGAUAUUGGGAAGAACACCGGUGGCGAAGGCGGCUCACUGGCUCAUUACUGACGCUCAGGCGCGACAGCGUGGGGAUCAAACAGG
Molecule: ribosomal RNA, 254 nt
Filed under: uncultured bacterium
Lineage: Bacteria
Description: partial 16S ribosomal RNA
Rfam family: Bacterial small subunit ribosomal RNA
Source: RNAcentral